This 253-nucleotide ribosomal RNA is filed under the name uncultured bacterium. RNAcentral's name for it is "partial 16S ribosomal RNA". It matches the Rfam family "Bacterial small subunit ribosomal RNA", at positions 524 to 776 of the family's 1533-position model. The record is from RNAcentral.
UACAGAGGGGGCAAGCGUUGUUCGGAAUUACUGGGCGUAAAGGGCGCGUAGGCGGCCUUCUAAGUCAGACGUGAAAUCCCUCGGCUCAACCGGGGAACUGCGUCUGAGACUGGAAGGCUUGAAUCCGGGAGAGGGAUGUGGAAUUCCAGGUGUAGCGGUGAAAUGCGUAGAUAUUGGGAGGAACACCAGUGGCGAAGGCGGCUCACUGGACCGGUACUGACGCUGAGGCGCGAAAGCGUGGGGAGCAAACAGG